ACACAGGUGGGUGAGGAGAGUAUCCUAAGGCCAGCGAGAGAACUGUUGUUAAGGAACUCGGCAAAAUGACCCCGUAACUUAGGGAUAAGGGGUGCCACCAUCAGGUGGCCGCAGAGAAUAGGCCCAAGCGACUGUUUACCAAAAACAUAGGUUUCUGCUAAGUCGCAAGACGAUGUAUAGGAGCUGACGCCUGCCCGGUGCUGGAAGGUUAAGGGGAUCUGUUAGAGCAAUCGAAGCAGUGAACUUAAGCCCCAGUAAACGGCGGCCGUAACUAUAACGGUCCUAAGGUAGCGAAAUUCCUUGUCGGGUAAGUUCCGACCCGCACGAAAGGCGUAACGAUUUGGGCACUGUCUCAACAACAGACUCGGUGAAAUUGUAAUUCCGGUGAAGAUGCCGGAUACCUGCGACAGGACGGAAAGACCCCAUGGAGCUUUACUGUAGCUUGACAUUGGGUCUUGGUACUACAUGUACAGGAUAGGUGGGAGGCUUUGAAACCAGGACGCCAGUUUUGGCGGAGCCAUCCUUGGGAUACCACCCUUGUAGUACUGGGACUCUAACCAUAGGCCAUGAAUCUGGUCUUGGGACACUGUCAGGUGGGCAGUUUGACUGGGGCGGUCGCCUCCCAAAAGGUAACGGAGGCGCUCAAAGGUUCUCUCAGUACGGUCGGAAAUCGUACGUAGAGUGUAAAGGCAAAAGAGAGCUUGAUUGCAAGACAUACAGGUCGAGCAAGGAUGAAAAUCGGACUUAGUGAUCCGGUGGUUCUGCGUGGAAGGGCCAUCGCUCAACGGAUAAAAGCUACCCUGGGGAUAACAGGCUUAUCUCCCCCAAGAGUCCACAUCGACGGGGAGGUUUGGCACCUCGAUGUCGGCUCAUCACAUCCUGGGGCUGUAGUAGGUCCCAAGGGUUGGGCUGUUCGCCCAUUAAAGUGGUACGCGAGCUGGGUUCAGAACGUCGUGAGACAGUUCGGUCCCUAUCCGUCGCAGGCGUAGGAAAUUUGAGAAGACCUGUCCUUAGUACGAGAGGACCGGGAUGGACG
RNAcentral lists this ribosomal RNA (1036 nucleotides) under Clostridioides difficile. RNAcentral's name for it is "partial 23S ribosomal RNA". It matches the Rfam family "Bacterial large subunit ribosomal RNA", at positions 1657 to 2703 of the family's 2925-position model. Lineage: Bacteria; Bacillati; Bacillota; Clostridia; Peptostreptococcales; Peptostreptococcaceae. The record is from RNAcentral.